UCGGGAAUUUUGGGCAAUGGGGGAAACCCUGACCCAGCAACGCCGCGUGAAGGAUGAAGUAUUUCGGUAUGUAAACUUCGAAAGAAUAGGAAGAAUAAAUGACGGUACUAUUUAUAAGGUCCGGCUAACUACGUGCCAGCAGCCGCGGUAAUACGUAGGGACCAAGCGUUGUUCGGAUUUACUGGGCGUAAAGGGCGCGUAGGCGGCAAUUCAAGUCAUCUGUGAAAUCUCCGGGCUUAACUCGGAACGGUCAGAUGAUACUGCUUUGCUAGAGUGCAGAAGGGGCAAUCGGAAUUCUUGGUGUAGAGGUGAAAUUCGUAGAUAUCUGGAGGAACAACAGAGGCGAAAGCGGCUUACUGGACUAUUACUGACACUGAGAUGCGAAAGCGUGGGGAGCAAACAGGAUUAGAUACCCUCGUAGUCCCUGAGCGGGCUGGCAAGGCGCAU
Molecule: ribosomal RNA, 447 nt
Filed under: uncultured bacterium
Lineage: Bacteria
Description: bacterial SSU rRNA
Rfam family: Bacterial small subunit ribosomal RNA
Source: RNAcentral